CCAGUCAAAGCAAGUAUCGUGUUACUCUAUUCCAGGGACCCUGAAUGCACCACCUUUCUGUAUGAACAACGGGGACACGCUUGAGCUCCGAAUCAAUCAUUUCACAGGAAAUAUCUUCUUAUUCUAUAAGGAGGCAGCAGGGUGCUGUCAGGAAGCGGGCCCUUUCCAAAUGACUCGUUCCGGGGCAUCCAUCCUGCAGAGAGAAGACGGAGAGGGAGCAAGAAGUCGUUUCCAAUUCUCCUCAGCAGGAGAAUCAGCAGUGUGUCCACAGCCAAGGUUAAUGGAGACAGUGGGAUGGAGGAAAGACAAAGAGACAAAUAGACACACACAAGAUGGAAUAGUGCCAAGGACGCUUGAUGUGACGGCCACAAUGUACCCCCCGCCUUCUCAAUUUUAC
Molecule: long non-coding RNA, 397 nt
Organism: Dunckerocampus dactyliophorus (ringed pipefish)
Lineage: Eukaryota; Metazoa; Chordata; Actinopteri; Syngnathiformes; Syngnathidae
Exons: 3
Source: RefSeq, a predicted model, not a curated record